CCUACGGGAGGCAGCAGUGGGGAAUAUUGGGCAAUGGGCGCAAGCCUGACCCAGCAACGCCGCGUGAAGGAAGAAGGCCCUCGGGUUGUAAACUUCUUUUGUCAGGGACGAAGCAAGUGACGGUACCUGACGAAUAAGCCACGGCUAACUACGUGCCAGCAGCCGCCGUAAUACGUAGGUGGCAAGCGUUAUCCGGAUGUACUGGGUGGAAAGGGCGUGUAGGCGGGAAAGCAAGUCAGAUGUGAAAACCACGGGCUCAACCUGUGGCCUGCAUUUGAUACUGGUUUUCUUGAGUACUGGAGAGGCAGACGGAAUUCCAAGUGUAGCGGUGAAAUGCGUAGAUAUUAGGAGGAACACCAGUGGCGAAGGCAGUCUGCUGGACAGCUACUGACGCUGAGGCGCGAAAGCGUGGGGAGCAAACAGGAUUAGAUACCCCAGUAGUC
This 443-nucleotide ribosomal RNA is filed under the name uncultured bacterium. Its description in RNAcentral is "partial 16S ribosomal RNA". It matches the Rfam family "Bacterial small subunit ribosomal RNA", at positions 338 to 795 of the family's 1533-position model. The record is from RNAcentral.